CCCAUUGGAUGUCUGAAAUUGUGGAUGGUACUGAAUCCUAAAUAUACUAUGUUUUUUCCUAUACAUACAUAACUAUGAUAAAGUUUAACUUAUAAAUUGGGCACAGAAAGAGAUUAAAAACCACAGAAAUAAAAUGUAAC
This is a non-coding RNA of Ceratotherium simum simum (southern white rhinoceros), 140 nucleotides long. NCBI's taxonomy places the organism in Eukaryota, Metazoa, Chordata, Mammalia, Perissodactyla, Rhinocerotidae. The record is from RefSeq and is a predicted model, not a curated record.